CACAGGAGAGACACCUCGUAGCUGUAAUCAAUGUGGGAAGAGUUUUACUCAGCCAAACGUCCUGCUAUCACACCAGAGAACACAGGAGAGACACCUCGUAGCUGUAAUCAAUGUGGGAAGAGUUUUACUCAGCCAAACGUCCUGCUAUCACACCAGAGAACACAGGAGAGACACCUCGUAGCUGUAAUCAAUGUGGGAAGAGUUUUACUCAGCCAAACGUCCUGCUAUCACACCAGAGAACACAGGAGAGACACCUCGUAGCUGUGAUCGAUGUGGAAAGAGAGACGCUGGUAAAGUAUCUCUGAUUAAACAUCAGAGAAAAUACAUGUAUGAAGGAGUUGUUUCACGACAUUAAUAGGAUGAUGUCACAAUGUAGAAUGUUUUAACAUUGUAGUAGGAGUGUUCUAAUGAUGUCACAAUGUAGAAUGUUUUAACAUUGUAGUAGGAGUGUUCUAAUGAUGUCACAAUGUAGAAUGUUUUAACAUUGUAGUAGGAGUAUUCUAAUGAUGUCACAAUGUAGAAUGUUUUAACAUUGUAGUAGGAGUGUUCUAAUGAUGUCACAAUGUAGAAUGUUUUAACAUUGUAGUAGGAUUGUUCUAAUGAUGUCACAAUGUAGAAUGUUUUAACAUUGUAGUAGGAGUGUUCUAAUGAUGUCACAAUGUAGAAUGUUUUAACAUUGUAGUAGGAGUGUUCUAAUGAUGUCACAAUGUAGAAUGUUUUAACAUUGUAGUAGGAGUGUUCUAAUGAUGUCACAAUGUAGAAUGUUUUAACAUUGUAGUAGGAGUGUUCUAAUGAUGUCACAAUGUAGAAUGUUUUAACAUUGUAGUAGGAGUGUUUUAAUGAUGUCACAAUGUAGAAUGUUUUAACAUUGUAGUAGGAGUGUUCUAAUGAUGUCACAAUGUAGAAUGUUUUAACAUUGUAGUAGGAGUGUUCUAAUGAUGUCACAAUGUAGAAUGUUUUAACAUUGUAGUAGGAGUAUUUUAAUGAUGUCACAAUGUAGAAUGUUUUAACAUUGUAGUAGGAGUGUUCUAAUGAUGUCACAAUGUAGAAUGUUUUAACAUUGUAGUAGGAGUAUUUUAAUGAUGUCAUAAUGUAGAAUGUUUUAACAUUGUAGUAGGAGUAUUUGAAUGAUGUCACAAUGUAGAAUGUUUUAACAUUGUAGUAGGAGUAUUUGAAUGAUGUCACAAUGUAGAACCCUAAACGUUUGCCCCCUGAUCUAUUGAUUUCAACAUGACAUGGAUAUUAGCCUCAUUAGGGGGAAAAUCCAGGCUCUGAAAUGAAAGAGUCCUAUUUAGUUGAUUAACAAAAAGUGUUGCGUUACACUUCUCGUCGGUGAUCCACCUGAAUCAAAAUGCAUCUCUUCAAAAUGUAGCUAGCUAUUUUCUACAAAUUGUCCUCUAACCAGGGAUGUACACAUUAUUCCCAUAUUCCGUGUGGAGUUUUAGCUGUUCGUUUUAACGGGACGUGAAACCUCAUCUCCGCCCUCUCGCGCAAUUGAUUUCAACUUGAUAUCGAAAUGAGUGAUGACAAAAAUGUGUUGCGUUUCUCUUAGUUUUAGCGACCCCCACAUUUACAUAUUCUAAAUUUAAAUGCAUCACUCCAAAAUGUAGCUAACUGUCUUCUGCAGGUUGUCCUCUAACCAGUGAGGUAAAAUAUAUCUCCCAUUUCCAUGUUUUGUUUAAUAGUUGUGUUAGUUUUAACAGCACCUACAACCUGAUUUCCCCCCUAAUCGAUAUCAGUGAUGUAUUGUUGUUGUUUAUCAUGUAGCAUUUAGUAAUCAUAAUUAUUUAUGCAACCAACUGACAUUUUUUUUGUUUACUAACAAUGUAGUAAGUAAAACUAGCUUAUAUUUCUGGUUGGAUAUUACAUCCUAUUCUUGCCAUUUUAGUCAUUUCCUUAGAAUGAUCAUUAGUCUUUCAGUUUUUAUUGUUAUUCCUAAUGUUUGUUGUGGUGUAAAUAUUUAGUGUAGUUUUUAUUUUCAUCGUUUUUAUUUGUGUGUUUUUUUUCCUGUGAAUCCAUUGCGUUGCAUCCAUGUCUGAAAUGUGCUGUAUCAAUAAAGCUUGAUUUGAA
Oncorhynchus keta (chum salmon) is the source of this 2070-nucleotide long non-coding RNA. RefSeq lists it as uncharacterized. The transcript has 2 exons. Lineage: Eukaryota; Metazoa; Chordata; Actinopteri; Salmoniformes; Salmonidae. The record is from RefSeq and is a predicted model, not a curated record.